This 205-nucleotide microRNA precursor is filed under the name Oryza sativa Indica Group (long-grained rice). RNAcentral's name for it is "MIR812 microRNA precursor family". It matches the Rfam family "MIR812 microRNA precursor family". The record is from Rfam by way of RNAcentral. Lineage: Eukaryota; Viridiplantae; Streptophyta; Magnoliopsida; Poales; Poaceae.
AAAAAGACAAACCCUGGUUUCCGUGCCCAAUGUUUGACCGUCCGUCUUAUUUGAAAAAAUUAUGAAAAAAAUUAAAAAGACAAGUCACGCACAAAGUAUUAAUCAUGUUUUAUCAUCUAACAACAAUAAAAAUACGAAUUAUAAAAAAAUUUCAUAUAAGACGGACAGUCAAAGUUGGACACGCAAACCUAGGGUUUGCCUUUUU